GACGAACGCUGGCGGCGUGCUUAACACAUGCAAGUCGAACGGAAAGGCCCUGCUUUUGUGGGGUGCUCGAGUGGCGAACGGGUGAGUAACACGUGAGUAACCUGCCCUUGACUUUGGGAUAACUUCAGGAAACUGGGGCUAAUACCGGAUAGGAGCUCCUGCUGCAUGGUGGGGGUUGGAAAGUUUCGGCGGUUGGGGAUGGACUCGCGGCUUAUCAGCUUGUUGGUGGGGUAGUGGCUUACCAAGGCUUUGACGGGUAGCCGGCCUGAGAGGGUGACCGGCCACAUUGGGACUGAGAUACGGCACAGACUCCUACGGGAGGCAGCAGUGGGGAAUAUUGCACAAUGGGCGGAAGCCUGAUGCAGCAACGCCGCGUGCGGGAUGACGGCCUUCGGGUUGUAAACCGCUUUCGCCUGUGACGAAGCGUGAGUGACGGUAAUGGGUAAAGAAGCACCGGAUAACUACGUG
This 468-nucleotide ribosomal RNA is filed under the name uncultured bacterium. RNAcentral describes it as "partial 16S ribosomal RNA". It matches the Rfam family "Bacterial small subunit ribosomal RNA", at positions 28 to 507 of the family's 1533-position model. The record is from RNAcentral.